AUGACUUUGGCAACAUUUAGACUAAAAUUGAAACCAUUCAGAGAAAAUUAACAUGGCCCCUGCACAAGGAUGACACAGAAAUUCAUGAAUUGUUUAAUUUUUUUU
Molecule: small nuclear RNA, 105 nt
Filed under: Pongo abelii (Sumatran orangutan)
Lineage: Eukaryota; Metazoa; Chordata; Mammalia; Primates; Hominidae
Source: RNAcentral